Molecule: ribosomal RNA, 497 nt
Filed under: uncultured bacterium
Lineage: Bacteria
Description: partial 16S ribosomal RNA
Rfam family: Bacterial small subunit ribosomal RNA
Source: RNAcentral
GACGAACGCUGGCGGCGUGCUUAACACAUGCAAGUCGAACGGUGAAGCGCCUUCCUUUUUGGUGGGUGUUGAUGAGUGGCCAACUGGUUAGUAACACGUUAGUAACCUUCCCCCUUCUUCUUGAUAACCGCAUGAAAGUGUUGCUAAUACGGGAUAUUCUGGGUCUGUCGCAUGAUUGGUCUGAGACAGAUAUUGUUUCGGUGGUGGAUGGGCUCGCGGCCUAUCAGCUUGUUGGUGGGGUGAUGGCCUACCAAGGCGGUGACGCGUAGCCGGCCUGAGAGGGGGAUGGGGCACAGCGGGAAUGAGACGCGGACAAGAGUCCGACGGGAGGCGGCAGGAGGGAAUCUUACGGAAUGGGCGAGAGGUUGACGGAGCAACGACGCGUGAGUGAUGAAGGUCUGCGGAUCGUAGAACGCUGUUAGUAUGGAAGAAAAAAGGUGUAAGUAACUAUGCACGUCGGGACGGUACCUAAGCAGAAAGCCAAGGCUAAGUACGGG